UCCGAGUUGACCCCGGCAGUCUCCCAUGAGUCCCCGCCAUUACGCGCUGGCAACAUGGAACGAGGGUUGCGCUCGUUGCGGGACUUAACCCAACAUCUCACGACACGAGCUGACGACAGCCAUGCACCACCUGUCACGGGCCCUUACGGACGCUGUAUUUCUACAGCUUUUCCCGUGAUGUCAAACCCAGGUAAGGUUCUUCGGGUUGCAUCGAAUUAAGCCGCAUGCUCCGCCGCUUGUGCGGGGACCCGUCAAUUCCUUUGAGUUUUAAUCUUGCGACCGUACUCCCCAGGCGGAAUGCUUAAAGCGUUAGCUGCGCCACUGACGAGCAAGCUCGCCAACGGCUAGCAUUCAUCGUUUACAGCGUGGACUAC
Molecule: unclassified non-coding RNA, 374 nt
Filed under: uncultured bacterium
Lineage: Bacteria
Description: contains 16S-23S intergenic spacer region
Source: RNAcentral